RNAcentral lists this long non-coding RNA (302 nucleotides) under Ananas comosus (pineapple). RNAcentral describes it as "long non-coding RNA (ACOM_LNC041891)". Lineage: Eukaryota; Viridiplantae; Streptophyta; Magnoliopsida; Poales; Bromeliaceae. The record is from RNAcentral.
UGGUUUUCUCAGUGGGUACGACAGAGCCACGAAGGCAAGUCGUAAUCACCGGAAACCAAAGGAGAUAGAUAAACAAAUAUAGAUGCUGAUAUGAAAAGUCUACAGUAGCUACAACAGAUAAAUAAGAAGCAAUAAAUAAACCUGCUACUGUAUAGAUAACAAUGCAAGGAAUGCCUCAAAGUAUUGAAUAGAAACUGUACCCAAUCUGUACCUGCUGUAUUGGUCCGCAGACCUCAAGCGCUGCCUGUCACUAACUGCACCGACCUGAUCCAUCCGCCCCGCAGGACGACCUAUCCGGAUAA